CAAUGAUUUUUUUUUUUUUUUACUUUCUUUUUUGUUGCUCGAAAGAAGUAUGAUUUUACUCCCAACGAACGGAGAGCGAGGGUC
Molecule: non-coding RNA, 84 nt
Filed under: Pseudopedinella elastica
Lineage: Eukaryota; Dictyochophyceae; Pedinellales
Source: RNAcentral